AUGGGAGGGUGCGGCGCUGGCGGGCCGAUCUGCGCCGCCAGGACUCGCCUGACCCGCGGGACGCUCGAUCCGGUGACGCACCAGUCGCCGGUUGUCGGCCCGGCCGACCAACGAGGAGAUCGCAGCACCCUGCACCAUCAUUCUGCCUCAGCUCAUCCUUCCUCUGCGCACCCGAGCUCCUCGAUGUGUGCUGCCUGGGAGGGCUCGAGCUCGCCACUCGACCAGAGCCACACGGCCAUCCGGUCGUCGUUGCACUCGCCGCCCCCUCUGCUCCUCCACCUCAACUUCGGACGCACGUGGGCUGGCAAAUGUCGCCUCCACUCUGCCCCGCCCCUGUGCUUUUUCCUCGAUGGAAAUGCGGGCCACCACGCCGCUCACUUCGCGUGCAACCACUUCAUCUCCAACCUGUCGUUGGAGAGCAUUGCAGACCGAGCGGACAAACGACGAGGUGUAGCAGCACAACCUUGCCUCUUCCCCUUACUCUCCUUCACAAGCGAGCCAAAGACACCCCAAGUUGUGGCACCCAUCUGA
RNAcentral lists this ribosomal RNA (531 nucleotides) under Triticum aestivum (bread wheat). RNAcentral describes it as "partial small subunit ribosomal RNA". Lineage: Eukaryota; Viridiplantae; Streptophyta; Magnoliopsida; Poales; Poaceae. The record is from RNAcentral.